This 313-nucleotide ribosomal RNA is filed under the name uncultured soil bacterium. RNAcentral's name for it is "bacterial SSU rRNA". It matches the Rfam family "Bacterial small subunit ribosomal RNA", at positions 26 to 342 of the family's 1533-position model. The record is from RNAcentral.
AGAUUGAACGCUGGCGGCAUGCCUUACACAUGCAAGUCGAACGGCAGCACGGGAGCAAUCCUGGUGGCGAGUGGCGAACGGGUGAGUAAUACAUCGGAACGUGCCCAAUCGUGGGGGAUAACGCAGCGAAAGCUGUGCUAAUACCGCAUAAGAUCUACGGAUGAAAGCAGGGGAUCGCAAGACCUUGCGCGAAUGGAGCGGCCGAUGGCAGAUUAGGUAGUUGGUGAGGUAAAGGCUCACCAAGCCUUCGAUCUGUAGCUGGUCUGAGAGGACGACCAGCCACACUGGACUGAGACACGGCCCAGACUCCGUA